UACGUAGGGACCGAGCGUUGUCCGGAAUCAUUGGGCGUAAAGAGCGUGUAGGCGGCCAAUUAAGUCCUGCGUGAAAUCUCGGGGCUCAACCCCGAGCGGUCGUGGGAAACUGGUUGGCUUGAGUUCGGGAGAGGGAUGCGGAAUUCCAGGUGUAGCGGUGAAAUGCGUAGAUAUCUGGAGGAACACCGGUGGCGAAGGCGGCAUCCUGGACCGAUACUGACGCUGAGGAGCGAAAGCCAGGGGAGCAAACGGG
RNAcentral lists this ribosomal RNA (253 nucleotides) under uncultured bacterium. RNAcentral's name for it is "partial 16S ribosomal RNA". It matches the Rfam family "Bacterial small subunit ribosomal RNA", at positions 524 to 776 of the family's 1533-position model. The record is from RNAcentral.